This 3118-nucleotide long non-coding RNA is filed under the name Marmota monax (woodchuck). The record is from RNAcentral. Lineage: Eukaryota; Metazoa; Chordata; Mammalia; Rodentia; Sciuridae.
GGGAAAUGAUGGUUUUGAAGUGCCUUUCAGAUGGAAUUUCCUAGAUUUUAAGUAUUUAGAGUAACUUUGUCAUAAAGUCAUUAUUAAGAUACAAAAAUCAGAUGAUGCUAAUAUUAGGGCAUCAGAUCACUUUACCCAUUGCAGCUCAAAGUCUGAUUCACAUGUAAGACACCCCCCGGGAUCCCACUGCAGGGCCAGUUGUGAUUGAGCAGGUCUGAGAUUCUGCCUUUCUCAGGAGCUCUGUGAGGCUGCUAAUGGACCUCACUGGCUGUGGAAUCCCUUUGGCUCCCGAGGGUGUUUGCAAAACAGCCUGUAGUUACAGUGAGGCAUCUUGUUCUCUUACUAGGUUUUUUGACUUGCAAGCAGACAACUUAUUAAGAUUAAGUAAUUUCUAUGGAGUUCAUGGCUUUCAUUAUAGAAAAAAAAGUUGAUUCCAGGGAAAUAAACUUUAAAUGAAUUGUUCUUCAAGUUGAAGUAUUGGAGAUUUGCAGGAGGUUUUGUGGUGUGUGUGUGUGUGUGUGUGUGUUUCAAAUAAGUGAAAGAAGAUACUAAAGUUGGAAAUUUGGCAGCUCUCUUAAAUUAAGAAGCUUGAAAAUGUGUCUGAUUCCUAAUGAUUCCUUUUGACUGAAUUCUGCAGUUCUCAUUUCAAAAUUAAUGUCAGGGAUUUGAAAUUCAAAGUCAUUCAAAAUCAAUUAUGAAUAUCAGUGUGAUUUUAGUAGUUAUAGGUUAAGAGUCUUAAUAUCAACUAAAAAUGCCCUGGGUCAAUUCCAUUUAUAUUGCUCAGUAUUUUGUUUUCUCUUAAUAAAUAUAUAUUUGGGAAAAUGAGAACAGGAGAUUUGGAGCCCCAGUUAGAGAAUGGCACAUCCUGCAUUCAAUUUGUAAUUAAAUUGUAGACCAAAAGGCAGCUGGCAUUAAGUCAUUUGAAUCAUCCUGUUCAUAUCCAUGUGGCCACUUAGAUGAAGACAAUAUCAGAAAGAUUCUGCAGUUAACUUUAAAGGUGAAGAUUACUUUUUUCUUUUCUUUUCUCUUCUUUUUAUAAUGCGGGGGAUGGGACCCAGGGUGUCACAUGUGCUAGGCAAGUGCUGUAUCGUUGAUCUACAUUCCCUGCCCCAAAGGUAGUAUUUUGAUCAUUGUUAAUAUUAAACAAUUUAUGCUAGUACAAUAUGGUGAUUUCCAUUCAUAGUUAACAUAAACUCUAAAAUUUAGAGAACAAAUUUAAAACAUUUUGUAAUUGAUGAAGUUAUAUUUUUUAUUUAAACUUUUUGUUUUGUGUUGAUACUUAAGAAUUAAUACAUAAGAAUUGCACAUCUGUGAGGUACAAUGUAAUAAUCUAGUAUGUGUAUACAAUGUAUAAAGACUAAAAUAGGGCACUUAGGAUUUCCAUCAAGGCAAUUAUAUUUAAUAAUAACUAUUUUCCAUAGUUGCUUAAAUUUAUGAAGUCUAAAUAAUACACUUUUAAAAAAUUAUUGGUGCUUAUUAAUUAUACAGAAUAAUGGGGAUUAUCCUGAUCCUCUCUUUUAAUAGUCUCUCUUUCUAUUUUUAUGAAACCUCUCUCUUUCUCCCUUCCCCUUCUCUUUCUGUCUCUCUCUUCCCUUCUCUCUAGCUUCCACACAUGAGAGAGAGAAAACAUGUGACAUUGUGUUUCUGAGUCUGGUUUAUUUUGCUUAACACAAUGCUCUCCAGUUUCAUCCAUUUUCCUGUGGAGGACAUAAUUUUGUUCUCUAUGGCUGACUGAAGCUCCAGUGUGUAUAUGCAACAUUUUCUGUUUCCAUUAACCAGUGAGGCUGGGUUCAUAACUGAGCUAUUGUGAGUGGAGUGCUGAAAACGUGGCCUGUAUAUAUUGCUCUUGUCUGCUGACUUUAAUUCUUUUGCACAGAUACUGAGGAGUGGUGUAGAUGGCCUACAAUAUACUCUUUAUUAUAUUCUCAGGGGAAAAUAUUUGACUUUGACAGAGUACUAGAAAAAUAAAUCUCAUUAGUAUAUAACAUAAAUUUUGUAUUCCAUUUGAGGUUAAUUUGUAAAGCUUUUGAUUGCUCAUGUAGUUACUUGAAUGUUUGUGAUUGAAAAAAAAAUACAUCUCAAUAGUGUAGAUUUAUUUUUAAAAAAUGAAUUAUAUCACAUCUGUAUUGCUUUCUGUCAUACAUUAAUUCUUGGUUGUUAUUGGUGGAAAAGAUGUUUUGCAUGUCACUCAAAUUCUGGGUGUUCCCCUGUGCUGGCUGUUCCCAUCAUCCACAAGGUUUUCUGCUGUAUUUUUGGGCCAAUUGAGAGUCACCUUUAUCUAUCAACUUUAAAGAUCAAUUGUAAAAACUUAAUAUUUGCUGGGCAUUUUAUAAUCUGAGCGUUUUAUACAUAUAAUCUCAUAGAAUCCUCAGCAUAAUCCUAAUGUGGAUAACUGUCCUUCUUUUCAAACCCAGAGAAUUUAAGUAGUUUACAAGGCUGUUCAGAUAAAAAAGCCCAAGAUGGUUUCCUUACACCCACUCUGUCUUCAAAGAUCAUGCUUUUAGUCUCACAAGUCUCCUACACUGCUGCCUCCAAAAUGCCAACUAAUUUCAAAAUUUGUCUGCAGCGUUAUAACUGUGAUUCAUGUUGUUAUUGUUAAGAAAUAGUUAUUUUCUGAUACCAAAUGGUUGAUACAUUGUGAUUACUUUUUAAUUUCCCAUCCUGUUGGUUUCCUUGUUAAUUAAAGGCAUUUAAGCUAUUUUCUCAUUAGAUGACAAUCAUAAUAACUGUUUUAAAAAUGCAAAUCCAAGUUCAUAGUGCAUUAAAGGUAAGCAUGACAGCCUCUCUCCAUCUCCAUCUUGGAUACAGUUACUGGCAUUUCUUCAUGAUGAUAUUGCCUGGCUUUUUACUAUGAUAAGAAUAAAUGUUUCAUAUAAAAAAUAAUUUAAACAUUAGUAAAUAGAUUGAUUUAAAGCUUAAUUUUUCAAAUGAAAGUAUUACGUUGAAGCUAAAUUUUUCAUACUCUUUUGUUUCUACAGUUUCUUCUUCAGUACUGUCUGUGGAUAAAGCACGUUUGUCCUGUUCAUUUAUAAAACUAGGUAUGAGGCCAGACAUGGUGGCACACACCUGCAAUCCCAGUGGCUUGGGAGGCUGAGGCAGGAGGAUUGCAGGUUCAAAG